GCGCACGCUGGCGGCAGGCCUAACACAUGCCAGUCGAACGAACUCUUCGGAGUUAGUGGCGGACGGGUGAGUAACACGUGGGAACGUGCCUUUAGGUUCGGAAUAACUCAGGGAAACUUGUGCUAAUACCGAAUGUGCCCUUCGGGGGAAAGAUUUAUCGCCUUUAGAGCGGCCCGCGUCUGAUUAGCUAGUUGGUGAGGUAAAGGCUCACCAAGGCGACGAUCAGUAGCUGGUCUGAGAGGAUGAUCAGCCACAUUGGGACUGAGACACGGCCCAAACUCCUACGGGAGGCAGCAGUGGGGAAUCUUGCGCAAUGGGCGAAAGCCUGACGCAGCCAUGCCGCGUGAAUGAUGAAGGUCUUAGGAUUGUAAAAUUCUUUCACCGGGGACGAUAAUGACGGUACCCGGAGAAGAAGCCCCGGCUAACUUCGUG
RNAcentral lists this ribosomal RNA (432 nucleotides) under uncultured bacterium. RNAcentral's name for it is "partial 16S ribosomal RNA". It matches the Rfam family "Bacterial small subunit ribosomal RNA", at positions 29 to 507 of the family's 1533-position model. The record is from RNAcentral.